GUCAUUUUGUUCAAGAGAA
RNAcentral lists this small nuclear RNA (19 nucleotides) under Arabidopsis thaliana (thale cress). RNAcentral describes it as "snRNA_12841". Lineage: Eukaryota; Viridiplantae; Streptophyta; Magnoliopsida; Brassicales; Brassicaceae. The record is from RNAcentral.